AGAGUUUGAUCAUGGCUCAGAUUGAACGCUGGCGGCAGGCCUAACACAUGCAAGUCGAACGGUAACAGGAAACAGCUUGCUGUUUCGCUGACGAGUGGCGGACGGGGGAGUAAUGUCUGGGAAACUGCCUGAUGGAGGGGGAUAACUACUGGAAACGGUAGCUAAUACCGCAUAACGUCGCAAGACCAAAGAGGGGGACCUUCGGGCCUCUUGCCAUCGGAUGUGCCCAGAUGGGAUUAGCUUGUUGGUGGGGUAACGGCUCACCAAGGCGACGAUCCCUAGCUGGUCUGAGAGGAUGACCAGCCACACUGGAACUGAGACACGGUCCAGACUCCUACGGGAGGCAGCAGUGGGGAAUAUUGCACAAUGGGCGCAAGCCUGAUGCAGCCAUGCCGCGUGUAUGAAGAAGGCCUUCGGGUUGUAAAGUACUUUCAGCGGGGAGGAAGGGAGUAAAGUUAAUACCUUUGCUCAUUGACGUUACCCGCAGAAGAAGCACCGGCUAACUCCGUGCCAGCAGCCGCGGUAAUACGGAGGGUGCAAGCGUUAAUCGGAAUUACUGGGCGUAAAGCGCACGCAGGCGGUUUGUUAAGUCAGAUGUGAAAUCCCCGGGCUCAACCUGGGAACUGCAUCUGAUACUGGCAAGCUUGAGUCUCGUAGAGGGGGGUAGAAUUCCAGGUGUAGCGGUGAAAUGCGUAGAGAUCUGGAGGAAUACCGGUGGCGAAGGCGGCCCCCUGGACGAAGACUGACGCUCAGGUGCGAAAGCGUGGGGAGCAAACAGGAUUAGAUACCCUGGUAGUCCACGCCGUAAACGAUGUCGACUUGGAGGUUGUGCCCUUGAGGCGUGGCUUCCGGAGCUAACGCGUUAAGUCGACCGCCUGGGGAGUACGGCCGCAAGGUUAAAACUCAAAUGAAUUGACGGGGGCCCGCACAAGCGGUGGAGCAUGUGGUUUAAUUCGAUGCAACGCGAAGAACCUUACCUGGUCUUGACAUCCACGGAAGUUUUCAGAGAUGAGAAUGUGCCUUCGGGAACCGUGAGACAGGUGCUGCAUGGCUGUCGUCAGCUCGUGUUGUGAAAUGUUGGGUUAAGUCCCGCAACGAGCGCAACCCUUAUCCUUUGUUGCCAGCGGUCCGGCCGGGAACUCAAAGGAGACUGCCAGUGAUAAACUGGAGGAAGGUGGGGAUGACGUCAAGUCAUCAUGGCCCUUACGACCAGGGCUACACACGUGCUACAAUGGCGCAUACAAAGAGAAGCGACCUCGCGAGAGCAAGCGGACCUCAUAAAGUGCGUCGUAGUCCGGAUUGGAGUCUGCAACUCGACUCCAUGAAGUCGGAAUCGCUAGUAAUCGUGGAUCAGAAUGCCACGGUGAAUACGUUCCCGGGCCUUGUACACACCGCCCGUCACACCAUGGGAGUGGGUUGCAAAAGAAGUAGGUAGCUUAACCUUCGGGAGGGCGCUUACCACUUUGUGAUUCAUGACUGGGGUGAAGUCGUAACAAGGUAACCGUAGGGGAACCUGCGGUUGGAUCACCU
This 1530-nucleotide ribosomal RNA is filed under the name Escherichia coli UMEA 3230-1. RNAcentral describes it as "bacterial SSU rRNA". It matches the Rfam family "Bacterial small subunit ribosomal RNA". The record is from RNAcentral. Lineage: Bacteria; Pseudomonadati; Pseudomonadota; Gammaproteobacteria; Enterobacterales; Enterobacteriaceae.